Molecule: non-coding RNA, 28 nt
Filed under: Homo sapiens (human)
Lineage: Eukaryota; Metazoa; Chordata; Mammalia; Primates; Hominidae
Source: RNAcentral
UCAGUGACUGUCUAGGGGGCUUCCGAGU